This 253-nucleotide ribosomal RNA is filed under the name uncultured bacterium. Its description in RNAcentral is "partial 16S ribosomal RNA". It matches the Rfam family "Bacterial small subunit ribosomal RNA", at positions 524 to 776 of the family's 1533-position model. The record is from RNAcentral.
UACAGAGGUCCCAAGCGUUGUUCGGAUUCACUGGGCGUAAAGGGUGCGCAGGCGGCCAAGUGCGUUAGGCGUGAAAGCCCGGGGCUUAACCUCGGAAUUGCACCUAAAACUACAUGGCUAGAGCAUUGGAGAGGGUAGCGGAAUUCACGGUGUAGCAGUGAAAUGCGUAGAUAUCGUGAGGAACACCAGAGGCGAAGGCGGCUACCUGGACAAUUGCUGACGCUCAGGCACGAAAGCGUGGGGAGCAAACAGG